RNAcentral lists this ribosomal RNA (495 nucleotides) under uncultured Clostridia bacterium. RNAcentral's name for it is "bacterial SSU rRNA". It matches the Rfam family "Bacterial small subunit ribosomal RNA", at positions 9 to 521 of the family's 1533-position model. The record is from RNAcentral. Lineage: Bacteria; Bacillati; Bacillota; Clostridia.
GAGUUUGAUCAUGGCUCAGGAUGAACGCUGGCGGUAUGCUUAACACAUGCAAGUCGAACGGACUCUUUCGGGAGUUAGUGGCGGACGGGUGAGUAACGCGUGAGAAUCUGGCUUUUGGUCUGGGACAACCACUGGAAACGGUGGCUAAUACCGGAUGUGCCCUUAUGGGUGAAAGGUUAACUGCCGGAAGAUGAGCUCGCGUCUGAUUAGCUAGUUGGUGGUGUAAGGGACUACCAAGGCGACGAUCAGUAGCUGGUCUGAGAGGAUGAUCAGCCACACUGGGACUGAGACACGGCCCAGACUCCUACGGGAGGCAGCAGUGGGGAAUUGUUCGCAAUGGGCGCAAGCCUGACGACGCAACGCCGCGUGGAGGAUGAAGAUUUUCGGAUCGUAAACUCCUGUCGAUCGGGACGAACAUCUUCCGGGAUAACACCCUGGAGGACUGACGGUACCGGUUGAGGAAGCCCCGGCUAACUCUGUGCCAGCAGCCGCAGU